GAAAUGGUGCCCAGAGCAAAAAAGCCAGACACUUGGACUCUCGUAUAAGUACAGUCUGUGUGAAAAUGUUACUACUGAACACAAGUAGAAGUUGCUGAAUCCACAUCAGAACACAUUUUGGCAGGAAAUAAGGAACUCGAAGCCCUGAAAUUAUAAAUGAUUUGGUGACAAGCCGAGCUUGCAAUGCAGGCAAUAAAAACCGUGGAAAAAGAGGUGACUUUUAUAAAGGAAAGGAUUUUCACAGAAUCCUUCCUACAGAAACAGGAGUGCAGCAGAAGCCUGGAGAGCGGGCAGCUGGGCAAGCAGCAGCCAUUGGAAGGAGCUGUCUGCAGCUCGCAGUGCUGCACUGAGCAUGUCCCAGCGGAGCCCAGCGCAAGCAGCACAUUAUGCAAAAAGGCAGCUCUAGCAGAUGGGAGAGAGGCACAGCAAGCAUUUGCUCCGCUUGCAUCACCACCGUUUGAAAACGAACCUGGAUCGCUAGAGGGGAUCUUGCCGGCAGGCCGAAGGAAUGAAAUCCGGGAGCAUGGCUUGAUUGCAGAAGGUCUUGCACAGAAUAAAAUCAUGGGGAAUCAAGAUGGGAAGCUGAAGAAAAACGCAGGUGAUGUGCAUGAAGGAGAGGAUGCCUCUGGGCCCAAGGAUACAGAUGGCACAAAGAAGGUAUCGGGAAGCAGGAGGGGACUGGGGAAGCAUGCAAAAGGAAGUGAAUCCAGUAAGAAGAAGGGUAAGUCGGAGUCGAGGGCCUCCGUGUUUUCAAAUCUGAGGAUCAGAAAAAAUCUGUCUAAGGCUAAAGACGGGAAUAGUAGUUCACGGGAGGAUGUUUUGGAAAGCCAGGCCUCGCAGGCUGGAGAGCUGGACAGUACUCAUUCAAUUGUAGCCAAAACUCCAGAUAUAAGCAUCUCUGCAGAUGAAGGGGGUCUCUCAGACACAGAUGUGGAACAUUUUGAAAUCAGAAAUGAAACUGUCCCAGCUGCUGCAGAGACACAGGAUGGACAAAGGACCAGCUCUGGCUCUGAUACGGAUAUAUACAGUUUCCAUUCAGCCACAGAACAAGAGGAUUUGCUUUCUGAUAUCCAGCAAGCUAUUAGACUGCAGCAGCAGCAGCAGGGGGCAAUUAACACUGGAACUGAGGACCUUGUCACCAAAACAAUGGGCCGACACAUGGUUAAUUCGCAAGCAGCCCCCUUAGAUUUUGAACGGUUUCUUUCAGUAACUACCACUGACAAAGAGAGGAGCCCAGACACUGAAGCAGCUUUUCCAGCGAUAUCUGAAAUUGCGGAAAGCAUUCGCGUCUCCUGUGCAGCUGAACGUGAACUGAAAGAAGUGGUAAAUGGCACAGGCUCUCCUGGUAACGGCUUAUUUGAAACACAGGAACGUAACCUACUGAUUGAUGAACAGAAACAGCUCGUUGCUAGAGUGGAUGCUGUAGCUGGGGAACUAGAAGAUGAUUUAAAUAGAACUGUGGUAGAAAACGGGUCUCAGACACAUAGCUCCACACAACCUUUUCCAACCUCAGUAGCAGAUGGUGGGACUGAAAGUGCUGAAGUGCAGUCUGUUGAUUUGCAGGAUACAGUAACGCAGGAUGGUAUUUCAGAUGCAGGCCAUGAUCAUGCUGCUGAGACUCAGGAAGAGAAACAUGCUCUGUCAGCCAGUCAAGAGGACCUGCAUAAUGGUUUAUCCACAGAAAUGAAAAAUGGCAUUUUGUCCUCUGAGGGGACAACAGGCAGUCCGAUGCUUGGUUCCCGAUGCUUUAAGCCCUAUCUAAUUAAUCCUUGUUACAUCAAAACCACAACUAGGCAACUGAGUUCUCCCAACCAUUCACCAUCUCCCUCCCCGUCCCAGAGCCCACUUUUUACAAGGAAGCAGGAGUACUUCCACCAAAAAGAAAAAGUCUCAAUCAAGAAGCAGAGGUCUGCUAGUUUGACAGGUUUAUUUAGUCGUUCUGCAGACUGGACGGAAGAGGUAUCUAAUCACAAAUGUGAGAUAACACAGAAGGUGGGCUCUGCAGGCUACUUGGAGCACAAGGGGUUUAGAGAGAAAUUCCAAACAGAAAGAGUGCCUUUGACUCAUUCAAGGAAGUCCUCAGGGGUGCAGGCUUCUGCAGAGACAUUUCCCAAUGUCUUUUCAGGACGAACUCUACUGGAAAAGCUCUUCAACCAGCAGGAAAAUGCGCCACAAGAAGAAGCGGAAAAACUGUGUUCUCGUAUUAUUGCAUUGGGUCUUUUGCUUCCAUUCACCGACUGCUUCAGAGAACCAUGUAAUCAGAGCACCCAGCAAACCACACCCACGUUCGAUCAAGACCAGCUUUAUACUUGGGCUGCAGUUAGCCAACCCACACAUUCAUCAGAUUACAUUGAAGGAAGUUUUCCAAGGAGAAUUCCAUCUGUGUGGCCCCCACCCAAACCUCCAGAUGAAGAACAAAGACUUAAAAUUACAAAAGAAGAAUCGAAAUCUACUGUCCUUGAAACAGAGAAACAGUGCAUAGAUGACAUUCAGCGGGUACAGGAUGAUAUUGAAGUGAAAUCCGAGGAGCGUGCCAGUGUCAUCCAACAACUUGAGCAAACUAUUGAGGAUCUGAGGACAAAAAUUGCGGAACUAGAGAAACAGUUCCCUGCUGCAGAGGUACAGACUGCUGGGAGGGAGCAGGGAAAUGAGCAUACACACACAGUCUGCAAGGAACUUAGCAGUGUGACUCUUCAAACAAGCAGAGAAGAGACUGUACCCAGGACUGCAUCACAAGCAAGAUCUGUACAAACAUCACCAACGGAGGAUUAUCUAACACACACGAUGCCUUCAGCCAAUGCACUGCCACAGUCGCCCCCACCACCACACUUAGAAGGGGGUAAAGCUGUAGACCCGACUCAGAAAUUGCCAGCCCUAGAACUACAGCCCACGUUUUGUUCUGAAAUCUCUUUAAUUCUGUCGCCGAAGCUAAUCUCGGUGCCGGUGGAUGCAAGCCAAUCAGUGCAGAGUAUGCUGCAGUCACCUCUUCCAGAACCCAAAGUUAAUUUGGCCCUUGCACUUGCUGCUCCCCCAUCUGGAGAACAUGGCCCUUCCCUUGCCACUUCCAUGUCCAUGACAGGAGUACCUGCACCGCUGCCCCUGCCCGGCUCAGGACUCCCUCCUUCUGCUGGCUCAGCAGUGCCACAUCUGGACUGCUCUGGCCCAGGCAUGGCACCACCCCCUCCCCCUCCUCCUCCACCUUUCCCAAGUGGGGAGAUGUCGAUGCUGCCUCCAGCCCCUCCUCUACCAUGUGCUGGAGUUCCACCACCACCUCUACCACCACCUUUGCCUGGAGCAGGAGUCCCACCUCCUCUUCUUGGUUGGGGCAUCCCACCUCCGCCACCACCACCACCUUUACCUGGGGUUGUUGUCCCUCCCCCACCUCCUCCUCUGCCUGGCCCGGGAAUGCCAUCGCCACCCCCAGCACCACCUCUGCCUGGAGCAGGUCUGCCACCACCUCCCCCACCUCUGCCUGGAGGGGGCAUGCCACCCCCUCCUCCUCCCCCACCACUGCCUGGUGCAGGUGUCCCCCCUCCACCUCCUCCACCACCUCUGCCCGGUGCAGGUGUCCCCCCUCCACCUCCUCCACCACCUCUGCCCGGUGCAGGUGUCCCCCCUCCACCUCCUCCACCACCUCUGCCCGGUGCAGGUGUCCCCCCUCCACCUCCUCCACCACCUCUGCCCGGUGCAGGUGUCCCCCCUCCACCUCCUCCACCACCUCUGCCCGGUGCAGGUGUCCCCCCUCCACCUCCUCCACCACCUCUGCCCGGUGCAGGUGUCCCCCCUCCACCUCCUCCACCACCUCUGCCCGGUGCAGGUGUCCCCCCUCCACCUCCUCCACCACCUCUGCCCGGUGCAGGUGUCCCCCCUCCACCUCCUCCACCACCUUUGCCUGGUGCUGGUGUCCCUCCACCACCCCCUCCUUUGCCUGGGCUGGGGAUGCCACCUCCAGCCCCUCCACCUUUGCCUGGAGGAACACCACCCCUUCCAGUGCCAGCUCAGGGUAGCUCCUACCCAGCAGUCCCACUGGGCUGUGGGUUUAUUCCUCCUCCAUUACCAUCUGGUUUAUUUGCAAUGGGGAUGAAUCAGGAGAAAGGGAGCAGGAAACACGUGAUAGAGCCUUCUCGGCCAAUGAAGCCUCUUUAUUGGACAAGAAUUCAGCUCCAUGGUAAAAGAGAUUCUAGUGCUUCACUUGUGUGGGAAAAAAUUGAAGAGCCUUCCAUAGAUUAUCAUGAGUUUGAAGAACUGUUUUCUAAAACAGCUGUAAAAGAGAGGAAGAAACCCAUUUCGGACACCAUUACAAAAACAAAGACUAAACAAGUUGUCAAGUUGUUAAGUAACAAAAGAUCUCAAGCUGUUGGAAUACUAAUGUCUAGCCUUCAUUUAGACAUGAGGGACAUUCAGCAUGCUGUUGUGAACUUGGACAACUCUGUGGUUGACCUAGAGACCCUUCAAGCCCUCUAUGAGAAUAGAGCACAAACAGAUGAAUUAGAAAAAAUAGAAAAGCAUAGCAAGGCAUCCAAGGAAAAAGAAAACGCUAAGUCUUUGGAUAAGCCGGAACAGUUCCUCUAUGAACUCUCACUAAUUCCCAACUUUUCAGAACGUGUAUUUUGCAUCUUGUUCCAAUCAACGUUUUCAGAAAGCAUUUGUUCAAUCCAUCGCAAACUUGAAUUGUUACAAAAACUGUGUGAGACGUUGAAAAAUGGAUCAGGAGUUAUGCAGGUCCUGGGUUUGGUUCUUGCCUUUGGAAAUUACAUGAAUGGUGGAAACAGGACGCGAGGACAGGCUGAUGGCUUUGGACUAGAUAUCCUGCCAAAACUGAAAGAUGUGAAGAGCAGUGACAACAGCAGAAGUCUUCUGUCUUACAUUGUCUCAUAUUAUUUGCGUAAUUUUGACGAGGAUGCUGGAAAAGAACAAUGCAUCUUUCCUCUUCCAGACCCACAAGAUCUCUUUCAGGCUUCACAAAUGAAGUUUGAUGACUUUCAAAAAGAUCUUCGCAAAAUGAAGAAAGAUUUGCGAGUAUGUGAGACGGAAGCAGCUAAAGUUUAUCAGCUAUCACUAGAAGAGCACCUCCAGCCUUUCAAAGACAGCAUGGAGCAAUUCAUUAGUCAAGCUAAAAUAGACCAGGAAAAUGAAGAGAAGUCACUGACAGAAGCACAUAAAAGCUUUUUGGAAACUGCAGCCUAUUUCUGUAUGAAACCAAAAAUGGGAGAGAAGGAGGUGUCCCCACAUUCUUUCUUCAGCAUUUGGCAUGAAUUCAGUUCUGACUUCAAAGACUUCUGGAAGAAGGAAAACAAACUUAUUCUUCAAGAAAGGUUAUUAUCUUGGAUCGCCAAGCUGAUCAGGGUCUCACUGGGGUAAGUGGGAAUUAAUGUGGGAAAAGCCUGAGUAAGAAGGAAAUUGCCACUGUGAGAACAUGACUUGAACUAGGUAUGAGGUAAGAGAAGCAGGGCAGUUUUGGCUAAAUCUCCUGAGUUUCAUGGAUGGGAAAAUGAAGAAUAAGUCAGGACCAAGUGGAGAAAACCUAAGAAGUUGACAAAAGAAUUACCAGUGGCAAGUAAAAGUUAUUUUCCAACUGAAUUAAGAUUAUUGUCCUCACUUCAGAGGUAAUGUUUUAUCUACUUUUCUAGAUCUUUCAAUUUAAAUGUUCACAUCAAAACAUGCCCUUUUGCUCUUCUGGAAGGACUGGGUUAUUUUAGUUUUACAUUUAACAAAAUCUUAAUUUAGUUGAAUGACCUGUGUUCGGAAAAUACACUUGCAUACUGUAGAAAUUGAUACCAGUUCUGCUGGUUUAUGAUUUAGCACCGUGGAGGGCUAAUGAUUGCCUUUGUCUCUAUAUUUCACCAGUAUGCCAACUUUUCUUUUAUAGAUACAGCUGUAGAUUUAUACAGUUCUCUGUGCUUCCAGUUCUAACAUGGUCAUAAACUAAGUCUCCUAACAGUGAGCUUUUGGUGUGCUGCCUUUACGUUUCUAAGGAUGUUUCUUUCUGAAGAGGCAUACGUAUAGGUCGUAUUGACUUCAGAGGCUCUAUCCAGCCAUGUGAAUCUUCCUGUACAGGGAGCAGGACAGGGGCCAAGAGACAGCAAGCUGUCCCAAACCCACACAGUGAGUCAGUGAUAUGGUUGGAACUGGAACUGAGCGGCUGCUAGCUCUUAGCUUUCUCUUAAGUACAUUAGGGAGUAAUGCUUCUCAUCUUCUGCAUUUCCGUCGGUAUGAAUAAAUAGGCUCAAACUCCAAGGAAUUUCACAAGAGCUACCAAAAACUUGAGGACCACAAUUAAACUAGUGAGACUCGAACCUCAUAUGUAAUCCUAGAAAAAUGGGUGGCAAAGGUAAAGGUUGUCAUUUAUCAGUCUGGAAGUUCUGGAUCAUUUUUUCAAGUACAAUCUAAAGGACAGAGAAUUUCUGAUUUCCAGCCUCCCAGACUGGCAUUGUUGUUAGCAUUUUGCUGUUUCAGGCAGAGACAGCCUUUCUCCAAAUACGUAUUUCUCUAAUAGAGGCAGAAAAUUUAGAUGGUACACUGACAGUGACACUUAAGGGGACCAUCUUUUUAGAAAAUAACCCCUAUCACUGCAUUUUCAACAGUUCCAUUCCAUAUGAGGACUUUUGUUUUGAAUUAAUGUGAGACCCCCAGAGAGCUGUGCUGUUUUACAACCUGGUAUGUUAGGCAAGCAGGGGGUAAUCUGUCCUGGAAGGGAGAUAUUUAGAUGUGACAAAGACUAGAACUAAAGAUUCCCUGACAUUUCCUGAGAAUAACAUCUAGAGCUGUGUGAACUGAUUUGGUAAAUAUUUUUGUAUGUUACAUAUGCUGUCGUUUGCAUGAUGAGUAGACUGAAUACCUGCAUAUAUUACAUUGCUUCUAUAAACCCGUCAUUUUGAUAACCUCAGUAGUACUUGUACAGUCCCUGGGAUUUGACACUAAUUCACUCCCAAGUAAUAUUUCAUUUUCUUAUUUAAAUGAUGUCUACCAGUGAAAGGAGCCAGCUAUAGUUGUAUUCGAAAAAAAGGAAAUUAUAUGAAAGACGUGCUAUUUUAUAUCUGACUCUGUAAGAGUGUCUUUUGAUGGGUCGGGGUGUGUCUGACUGUUUGGAAAAGAUCGUGGGAGGAUCGAUGUCACAGAUACUUUUCCUCCUUCAGAUGUAAGUAUAUGUGAAGAAAAAGUGGUGUUUCAGGAAAAAGAAAAUGUCUUUGAACUUUACCACAUUCUGUAUCUUUCCCAUAAGUUUCUGUUUAAAGCUAUCACCACGUUCUGGUCACCACUUUUACUGAAUUUAUUUAAAUACGUUUUAAAGGUGGCUUACUUGGCUGUUUGACAUUCUUGUUCUAUAUUAUGCUGCAGCAAUCUAUCUGAUUUGCAGUCAGAAAACGUUACAGCUUGACAAUAAUAGGUUUGAAAGCCUUUUUUCUCCCCACUGCAUGUGAAGGUCCUCCUGCAUUAAUAAAAUAUAAGUUUAUCAAACGUAGAUAGCAACUUGUUGGAAGUGCUGGAAAAUAACUGAUGUUAAAAUUAAUAUUUGAAAGUAUAAAUUUGAAACUUAUGAAAAGAACGAGGUGUGUCUGUUGAAAUUGGAAUAAGGAGAGAUGGAUGUGAAGGUGAUUUUUUUUUUGGUUGUUUUGGGUUUUUUUGUUUGUUUGUUUGUUUGUUUUUUGUGUGUGUGUUUUUUUUUUUUAAUGUGCUUAGCAGACCCAGCUGGAGUUGUGUUUUCAAAAUCCGGCCCUUACCACACACACAAAAAUAUUUAAAAAUAAUAAUAACACCACUUCUGAUUCUCACAUUGCCCUAUGUAGCCUCAGUGAAAUAGCAGACAUGCAAGUGGUCUGGAGAUGAACCGCAUGGAACCAGCCAAAGAUAUAUCAUUUCUUCAAUAUCAUUUUACUAUUGUGUUUUGUUUUGUUUUGUUUUGUUUUUAAUCACUGUUGGAUAACGAUGAAAAGGCAGAGUAAAAGCUAUCUAAAGUCUACAUUGUUGGCAAGAGCAAGCCAAUAUAGGAUUUACAUUUUUAUUUUCUACUUUCUAAUUUAUACAUAAUAUUCUCACCUCUCAUUAAAAAAAUAUAUAUAUGCAUCUCACACCAUUUCAUACAAUCAUAUAGGAAGGGUUUAUGUAAGUCUUUGAAGCUCAGAGUAUUAAUAACUUAAAUCUGCAUUAUCAGUGUUUCAAUAACCAUGCGUGUUUGUAAGGUUGAUCUAAAAAAUGAGUAAAAAUGGCAAAGAAAUUUUUUACAGCGUGCCAUUGAACUCACCAGACUUAUUCUGGCAGCCUUCUCUUGGAAUAUAGCCCUCUGCCUUUCAUAGUUUGUUCCCUCUGUGUGUGACAAACAGGACAUUCAUCCCAUUGAAAAUGUGGCAUUUGGUGGUAUUUCACAAGACCCCAAUUUUGACACCCUUUACCAAGUCAGGGAGCACCAAGAAGUUGCACCUCAUUUCUGGAACCUGCUCCUCUCCUUACAUCCGAGCAGCCCAACUGCUUUCAUCCCCAGCAGUCCUGUAGCCUUGCUGCUCAUCCUCAGUUUUGGAAAUAAAGAGAUGUGUAUAGUGACAUGCACCACCUUGGUUGUAAACAUCAUGUUCUUUAAUAAUGAUUCUGCAAAUUUUUGGUUUUAUUUUAAGUCAUUGAGUGAAGACUAGAAAUUUUGGUUAUGCUGUUUUGCCAUUUUAAAUACAAACAAACUGAGUGAAAAGGAAGAUAGCUUGAUGAGAACCUUUUUUUAAACUUUAGUUGAAGUAAUGAGGUUGGGAAUGGAUUAGGAAUGAUUUUUAAAUACUCUUAAAAAGAAAAGAAGCUUUCUUAGCGGUGUUUGCUAUGAAUGCUCUGAAAGGUAUUCUUCACGUCAUCCAGUGUAUUUUAAAUCCUGAUAUAUUUGAAACUUCAACUAUAGUAAGUACUGAUUGCAUUUGUAACUAAAAUUGAUUAUGUCAUUGGUUAUGCCUGUCUUUGUAAGUGCCAGAGCCUGAUGGUGGGGCAACAGCAGCCGCAAAGUGCAAGGUGCAGUUUUGUGGAGUGCACUAAUAAAAAUAUGGGAAAUAAAGUUAUUCACUUGUGUCCUCAGGCCUAAAUUUGUAAGUUAUAAACUGCACUGUCUUUGGAAAUGGUUUUGGUCUGGAGGAAUAUUUAUAAAUGAUGUCUCUCUUCAGAGUUAAAGAAGCAGAGGAAGUCUGCAGGCAGAAAAAGGGCAAGUCGCUAUACAAUAUAAGACCAAAACAUGACUCCGGAAUUAAAGCAAAGAUAAGUAUGAAAAUCUGAGAAGAACAGAAAAAGCCAUUGUUACCUGGUUACCAAAAUUCAACAUGCCUCUGGGUGGGGAGUGAGGGGAAGAAAACUACAUCAUCCUGAUCAUUUGCUUUCUUGACCUUUUUGAAUUUGCUUUUUGUUCUCUCAAGUUUUCCACCAAUUGAUGUGCUAUUGUACAUUCAUUCACGAAUGUAAUCACUUUAAUGGAGUGCCCAGCAAUAGACUAGGUAUGGACUUGAAACACCUUCCCCGUACUCUGUAUCUCCUUUGCCACUCAAAAAUGGUAUUUUGUAAAGUGUAUGGUAUAUUACACAUAGGCCAAGUCAGCAUGCAUAAAAAGUGACAUCUGCAUCAGUGCUGAACAUGCUAAAAAUUGCAUUAAGUUGAACUUCAUAAGAAUGCUACUCAAUACAGUAAAACAUUUCCAUUCCUACCGGCAACAUCUGUUUAACACAAAUACUUCAUGGCACUGCACUUAGAUUAGGGGAAAAAAAAAUGUUACUCCUAGUGAAUUGUUUGUAUCCGUUUCAUGUUGGCAUUUGUAGUUUGUAUUUUGAAUCGUUCAGUGCUGUUUAUACAGUAUAAUCAAUGCUUUCCCAACUUGUUUGGUUGCCCUCCAUGACUAAAUAUUUGUGGAACAAGAUGUUUACUGUAACUAUCUUUAAAAUCAAUAAGGCAGCGUACUUUUACUUCAUCAUUUGCCAGAUAGUGAAUGCCAGGUGGUAUGCGGGUCAGAAAUCCAGCAUUUAAAAAAAAAAAAAAAAAAAAGAAAAAGAAAAAAAAAAGAAAAGGAGUAAAUGAAAAGCAGGAAAAUACAGGAAAAAAAGCACAGAAAUACGAUAGAGAGCAUGAGAGAGAUUUGGCUAUUAUAGUUUGUUAAUAUAUAAAGCAGCUAAUACUUUUACAUGAACUUUAGAAGGCAGAGUAUAGUUUUAACUGCUGACCACUUAAGUCAGACAGGCUUUUGGCCACAUGUACAUGAAUUCCCUUUUGGACUUAGCUUUACAGUUAAUUCAAAACUCCUUUAUAGAGCCAUUAAAAGAUGCACAUGGAGAUUGACAUUUAUGGAAAAUAGUAGCCAAUUCUAGUGACAGAACAUAGACUACCAACUAAUUGACAUCAAUUUCACACUUAACAGAAUUGCAGACUUUUCCUCCAGGCUUUCAGUGUUCCUGACGAGGAGGUUAAUGAUUGAAAUCCAUGACUUAGGGCUUCCAUUUUAGACAGCAUGCUUAAUUCCUAUUUGCAAUCCAGAAUUUACUGUAUCAGUUUUGAUCUGCUCAACUGAUAACAACCCAUUCCUCCAGUCCUAAUUAAAGAGCCCCAAAGCAAUCAGCCUGAUUGAUAACAUUUUUCUUUCAAAGCACACUUUUUCUAAGAGCAGACUGCGUGUGCAACUGAAUUGGACGCACGUGCUCACAGGCUUGGAACCUGAAAGACACUGGGGUAGGGCAAAUGAGCUCUAACCUGCCGGGUUGGGUUAUUCUCUAAUCUAGCACACGAAGAGACUUUCCUAGCUGUCCAGAGGCUCAUAUACCCUACAGGGUGUCAUGAAAGGAAGUGCAAAAUAUGACCUCAGGAACCUGUUAUUCUUCACAUAUACCAAGCACUAGAAAAGAGGUUUUUUUUCACUAUGUGAAAAGCAAGUCUCCUGUUGCUGACAGAUCUAUGUGAAAAACUGUACUUGUAAAAAUUUCUGGCAGGGAUAUAAAUUACCAAGAAUGGAGUUCUAAAAUUUUGUGUUGUUGGGAGUAACAUUACUAUUUGGGGAAGUGAACAGAAGAGAUUAUUUGCUGUGACAACUAACUUAUGGAAAAAAAACUUUAAAAGAUAAAGCUAUUUUAAUGGCACUGAUUCAAAACCAUGUUUGUAUUUAUGUAAACAAUAGUCUUUUCCUCUUAACUUUGCUCCUAAGUGCAAGGAUACAGUAGCAUGUUUUCAUUUGUAGCCUUCCUGUUCCCUUCAGUACCUACAGUAUGUAUAUUACUAUACUAAAAGAAAUAAUAGAUCAUCUAACAAAGAUCACUAUGUGCAAUACUGUAUUUAGUGUUUCUAUUUCAAUUUUUUUAGAAUGUUAAUUUAUAUGAAAAUAAAAGGAAUAAUACUGAAAUAA
RNA transcript from Columba livia (rock pigeon), 11344 nucleotides. It is a transcript of the gene named formin 2, with no coding region annotated. The record is from RefSeq and is a predicted model, not a curated record. The transcript has 19 exons. NCBI's taxonomy places the organism in Eukaryota, Metazoa, Chordata, Aves, Columbiformes, Columbidae.